Molecule: unclassified non-coding RNA, 225 nt
Filed under: plant metagenome
Description: partial contains small subunit ribosomal RNA, internal transcribed spacer 1, and 5.8S ribosomal RNA
Source: RNAcentral
UCUCCGUUGGUGAACCAGCGGAGGGAUCAUUACAGGACUCGCAAGACUCCUACAACCCUGUGAACUUAACUAUAAGCACGUUGCUUCGGCGGGUGUCUCGGAGGGGGUUCUCCCUCCCCGAGACGCUAAACCCGCCGGCAGCCUACUAUACUCUGUCUCUUUGCGUUGACAUCUCGAGUACAAUCAAACAAGUUAAAACUUUCAACAACGGAUCUCUUGGUUCUG